Molecule: ribosomal RNA, 460 nt
Filed under: uncultured bacterium
Lineage: Bacteria
Description: partial 16S ribosomal RNA
Rfam family: Bacterial small subunit ribosomal RNA
Source: RNAcentral
CCUACGGGAGGCAGCAGUGAGGAAUAUUGGUCAAUGGACGCAAGUCUGAACCAGCCAUGCCGCGUGCAGGAAGACGGCUCUAUGAGUUGUAAACUGCUUUUGUACGAGGGUAAACGCAGAUACGCGUAUCUGUCUGAAAGUAUCGUACGAAUAAGGAUCGGCUAACUCCGUGCCAGCAGCCGCGGUAAUACGGAGGAUUCAAGCGUUAUCCGGAUUUAUUGGGUUUAAAGGGUGCGUAGGCGGUCGGAUAAGUUAGAGGUGAAAUCCCGAGGCUCAACUUCGGAAUUGCCUCUGAUACUGUUCGGCUAGAGAGUAGUUGCGGUAGGCGGAAUGUAUGGUGUAGCUGUGAAAUGCUUAGAGAUCCUACAGAACACCGAUUGCGAAGGCAGCUUACCAAGCUACUUCUGACGUUGAGGCACGAAAGCGUGGGGAGCAAACAGGAUUAGAUACCCUUGUAGUC